This 484-nucleotide ribosomal RNA is filed under the name uncultured bacterium. RNAcentral describes it as "partial 16S ribosomal RNA". It matches the Rfam family "Bacterial small subunit ribosomal RNA", at positions 30 to 507 of the family's 1533-position model. The record is from RNAcentral.
AUUGAACGCUGGCGGACUGCUUUACACAUGCAAGUCGAGCGGCAGCACGGGGGCAACCCUGGUGGCGAGCGGCGAACGGGUGAGUAAUACAUCGGAACAUGCCCAGUCGUGGGGGAUAACACUUCGAAAGAAGUGCUAAUACCGCAUACGUCCUGAGGGGGAAAGCGGGGGAUCGCAAGACCUCGCGCGAUUGGAGUGGCCGAUGUCAGAUUAGCUAGUUGGUGGGGUAAAGGCCUACCAAGGCAACGAUCUGUAGCUGGUCUGAGAGGAUGAUCAGCCACACUGGGACUGAGACACGGCCCAGACUCCUACGGGAUGCAGCAGUGGGGAAUUUUGGACAAUGGGGGCAACCCUGAUCCAGCCAUUCCGCGUGAGUGAAGAAGGCCUUCGGGUUGUAAAGCUCUUUCGGCAGGAACGAAACGGUGAGCUCUAACAUAGCUUGCUAAUGACGGUACCUGAAGAAGAAGCACGGGCUAGCUACGUG